This 492-nucleotide ribosomal RNA is filed under the name uncultured bacterium. RNAcentral's name for it is "partial 16S ribosomal RNA". It matches the Rfam family "Bacterial small subunit ribosomal RNA", at positions 29 to 507 of the family's 1533-position model. The record is from RNAcentral.
AGUGAACGCUGGCGGUAGGCCUAACACAUGCAAGUCGAACGGCAGCACAGUAAGAGCUUGCUCUUACGGGUGGCGAGUGGCGGACGGGUGAGGAAUACAUCGGAAUCUACUUUUUCGUGGGGGAUAACGUAGGUAAACUUACGCUAAUACCGCAUACGACCUACGGGGGAAAGCAGGGGAUCUUCGGACCUUUCGCGAUUGAAUGAGCCGAUGUCGGAUUAGCUAGUUGGCGGGGUAAAGGCCCACCAAGGCGACGAUCCGUAGCUGGUCUGAGAGGAUGAUCAGCCACACUGGAACUGAGACACGGUCCAGACUCCUACGGGAGGCAGCAGUGGGGAAUAUUGGACAAUGGGCGCAAGCCUGAUCCAGCCAUACCGCGUGGGUGAAGAAGGCCUUCGGGUUGUAAAGCCCUUUUGUUGGGAAAGAAAAGCAGCAGGUUAAUACCCCGCUGUUCUGACGGUACCCAAAGAAUAAGCACCGGCUAACUUCGUG